Molecule: ribosomal RNA, 253 nt
Filed under: uncultured bacterium
Lineage: Bacteria
Description: partial 16S ribosomal RNA
Rfam family: Bacterial small subunit ribosomal RNA
Source: RNAcentral
UACGAAGGUCCCAAGCGUUAUCCGGAUUUAUUGGGUUUAAAGGGUGCGUAGGCGGGUUAUUAAGUCAGUGGUGAAAGCCUACAGCUUAACUGUAGAAUUGCCAUUGAUACUGAUAAUCCUGAGUAUGAUUGAGGUGGGCGGAAUGUGUCAUGUAGCGGUGAAAUGCUUAGAUAUGACACAGAACACCGAUUGCGAAGGCAGCUCACUAAGUCAUAACUGACGCUGAUGCACGAAAGCGUGGGGAGCAAACAGG